Molecule: transfer RNA, 77 nt
Filed under: Aeromicrobium sp. IC_218
Lineage: Bacteria; Bacillati; Actinomycetota; Actinomycetes; Propionibacteriales; Nocardioidaceae
Description: tRNA-Met
Rfam family: tRNA
About the family: Transfer RNA (tRNA) molecules are approximately 80 nucleotides in length. Their secondary structure includes four short double-helical elements and three loops (D, anti-codon, and T loops). Further hydrogen bonds mediate the characteristic L-shaped molecular structure. tRNAs have two regions of fundamental functional importance: the anti-codon, which is responsible for specific mRNA codon recognition, and the 3' end, to which the tRNAs corresponding amino acid is attached (by aminoacyl-tRNA synthetases). tRNAs cope with the degeneracy of the genetic code in two manners: having more than one tRNA (with a specific anti-codon) for a particular amino acid; and 'wobble' base-pairing, i.e. permitting non-standard base-pairing at the 3rd anti-codon position.
Source: RNAcentral
GGGGCGGUAGCUCAGCCGGUCAGAGCAGAGGACUCAUAAUCCUUGGGUCGUGGGUUCGAGCCCCACCCGCCCUACGA